AGAGUUUGAUCAUGGCUCAGGAUGAACGCUGGCGGCGUGCCUAACACAUGCAAGUCGAACGGAGUCGUUUUGGAAAAUCCUUCGGGAUUGGAAUUCUCGACUUAGUGGCGGACGGGUGAGUAACGCGUGAGCAAUCUGCCUUUAAGAGGGGGAUAACAGUCGGAAACGGCUGCUAAUACCGCAUAAAGCAAUGAAUUCGCAUGUUUUCAUUGCCAAAGGAGCAAUCCGCUUUUAGAUGAGCUCGCGUCUGAUUAGCUAGUUGGCGGGGUAACGGCCCACCAAGGCGACGAUCAGUAGCCGGACUGAGAGGUUGAACGGCCACAUUGGGACUGAGACACGGCCCAGACUCCUACGGGAGGCAGCAGUGGGGAAUAUUGCGCAAUGGGGGAAACCCUGACGCAGCAACGCCGCGUGAUUGAAGAAGGCCUUCGGGUUGUAAAGAUCUUUAAUCAGGGACGAAAAAAAUGACGGUACCUGAAGAAUAAGCUCCGGCUAACUACGUGCCAGCAGCCGCGGUAAUACGUAGGGAGCAAGCGUUAUCCGGAUUUACUGGGUGUAAAGGGCGCGCAGGCGGGCCGGCAAGUUGGAAGUGAAAUCUAUGGGCUUAACCCAUAAACUGCUUUCAAAACUGCUGGCCUUGAGUGAUGGAGAGGCAGGCGGAAUUCCAUGUGUAGCGGUG
RNAcentral lists this ribosomal RNA (679 nucleotides) under uncultured bacterium. RNAcentral describes it as "bacterial SSU rRNA". It matches the Rfam family "Bacterial small subunit ribosomal RNA", at positions 8 to 683 of the family's 1533-position model. The record is from RNAcentral.